RNAcentral lists this ribosomal RNA (439 nucleotides) under uncultured bacterium. Its description in RNAcentral is "partial 16S ribosomal RNA". It matches the Rfam family "Bacterial small subunit ribosomal RNA", at positions 339 to 795 of the family's 1533-position model. The record is from RNAcentral.
CCUCGGGUGGUUGCAGUGGGGGAUAUUGCACAAUGGGGGGAACCCUGAUGCAGCGACGCCGCGUGGGUGAAGAAGCGCCUCGGCGCGUAAAGCCCUGUCAGCAGGGAAGAAAAUGACGGUACCUGAAGAAGAAGCCCCGGCUAACUACGUGCCAGCAGCCGCGGUAAUACGUAGGGGGCAAGCGUUAUCCGGAUUUACUGGGUGUAAAGGGAGCGUAGACGGUCCUGCAAGCCAGAUGUGAAAGCCCGGGGCUCAACCCCGGGACUGCAUUUGGAACUGUAAGGCUAGAGUGUCGGAGAGGCAGGCGGAAUGCCUAGUGUAGCGGUGAAAUGCGUAGAUAUUAGGAGGAACACCAGUGGCGAAGGCGGCCUGCUGGACGAUGACUGACGUUGAGGCUCGAAAGCGUGGGGAGCAAACAGGAUUAGAUACCCGGGUAGUC